GCACAUUUGCUUUGGAAGAUGACACUAAUUUGCUCCAAGUGGAAAACCGGCUCCUAAGACUUUCAUUGUAUUAUGUAGAGAAAGCAAGGCCAGGAUUCAGAUGGCACUUUCUCAAAAGCAAAAACAAAACAAAACAAAACAAUACACCAAGGGCCGAAUACCAUAUGACAUUCAUACCAAAUGGCCUCCCAAGGACCCAGUUGUCCUGUCCUUGACAUCAGGACCGGGUGUGGACCAGAAGGAAGGGCUGCUGUGAUGGCAGAUGGUGAUACUGUUGCUUGGAAAUGGCUGGUGGCUCCCCAGCAUUUAGGAUUUACCCUCUCCCUCCUUCAGGAGGACAAGCUUGUGCUUCCUUCAGUGCGAGUUUGUAUCCGUGUGGGCGCAUCACUGUGCGCACGUGGAGGCCCCAGGGACAGCUUGCGAGCGAGGCUUCUCUCCUCCAGCGUGUUGGACUGGAACUCAGAUGGUCAGGCAUGGCGGCGCCUGCCCUGGCCCUAGCGUGUGAUUGAAAACAGUAAUUCAAAAACAAGGUGAUUCCCAUUGGAAUCCCGUGGCUUAGAAAAGGCUCCUUUAAAAAAACGACAAAGCAUGAGCCAGCGAGAUGGCUCCGUAAGUGAAGGCCCUUGCUGUCGAACCUGAUGACCUGAAUUUGGCCCCCCAGAGCCCAAGCGGUGGGAAGAGAGAAAUGACUCCCGGAAGUCAUCCUCUGAACUUUGCAUCCUCUCUCUCACUGAAUAAAUGUAAAAACAAUAUGAACUAACAACACAGCAUAAUUUUAGCAUGAUUUUCUUCUUGUCUAAAAGUUUUAAUGAGCUCCAAAGACCAAGGCCAACAUUAUCAGUAUCUAAGUCCUUCUACAUUCUAAAGAACACCCUGUGUGUGCUGUGUGUAUGUGUGUGUGUUCGUCAUUGCGUAUUUAUGCAGGAGAGCUACUAUAGAGAACUGGCUCUAUAGUAUACAUAGAACAUGCUUAUGAAGGAUCCAAGAUCUCAGUUGACCUGCUGAGCCAGCAGAGCCCAAAUGUGGAUCUCUUUCUACCCCACUGGCCUGAGAACCAGGAGACCCACGUGUAUAAGCUCUAGGCUGAAAGCCGGGAGGCCUGAGACCCGUAGGAGCACAGUGCCCCAGUGACACUCCCCCAGCCAAACAGAGCCCCCUCCCCUGCAGAACCCAGCCAGGCUUGGGUGAGCGAAACCUGCCUACGCUGACCCAGCUCGUGAGCAAGAAAUUUUGUUUUCACCCGCUGAUUUUGGGGUGGAGUUGUUGGGUGACAAUAACCAACUUACUGAAUGUCAUUCAGGAAAAUGUCUAUAUACCUUCUUAGGUUAUCUUGGCCAAAGGCUGAGAAAUGGUUCUAACUUCCUAAUAGGGAAAUGGAGUCCAUAAAUGAGUUACAAAUUGUCCAGGUGCAGACAAAAAUGAAAGGCAGAAAGCAGUAGAGCUGACCCUCUGGGUCCACUGGGUCUAUGUCUGUGGAUAGAAACAACUGUAGAUCAAAUGUAUAUUUUUUAAAAAUGGUGUCUGUACUGAACAGAUACAGAUGUUUUGGGCCAGCCUCUGAAAACACAGCCCGACAACCGCUGUAUAGAAUCUAUUUGUAUUAGGUGGUAUAAAUAAUUAAAAAAAUGAUUUCA
Meriones unguiculatus (Mongolian gerbil) is the source of this 1634-nucleotide long non-coding RNA. RefSeq lists it as uncharacterized. The record is from RefSeq and is a predicted model, not a curated record. Lineage: Eukaryota; Metazoa; Chordata; Mammalia; Rodentia; Muridae. The transcript is spliced from 3 exons.